GGUAGGGUGGCCGAAAGUAGGCGGCAGGUUGUAGCCCUGCCCAUGCGGGUUCAGCUCCGUCCCUAUCA
This 68-nucleotide transfer RNA is filed under the name Plestiodon multivirgatus. Its description in RNAcentral is "tRNA-Tyr". It matches the Rfam family "tRNA". Rfam says of the family: Transfer RNA (tRNA) molecules are approximately 80 nucleotides in length. Their secondary structure includes four short double-helical elements and three loops (D, anti-codon, and T loops). The record is from RNAcentral. Lineage: Eukaryota; Metazoa; Chordata; Lepidosauria; Squamata; Scincidae.